CCUUCUCCCUCACUCACGCGAGCCCGCCCCUCCGUUUUCCGCUUCCUCGCGCCUGUUCGUGGGUUCUGGCUGGGCAGAUCCCGCCGGUUAGACACACUCUCAGUCCGCCCAGAUUCGAGCCACCGCACGUUCGCUGCUCUCAGUCCGCCCAGAUCGGACGUUGAACGUCCGCCGCCGGCCCUCCUUAACCCGUCGUCCAGAUGCCACCGGUCCGACCCUAGCCACCGCCGCCGAGGUUUUUGCCCAAGCCGACCACCCUUCAUCGCGUUUCGCUGCCAUUGCUGCCCAGUCGACGCCCCAUCGUUCGUCAAGGCCCGACUGCGUGCGAACCCCCCCAACGGUCGUUGCUUCCAAAUGUAUCAGCAAUCGUUCCAGCAUUUUGCUACCUGCAUUGUCGUUCAGAUCUACUCCGCGCUGUUCCGGUUCGUCCUCCCAGCCGUUGUCCGCCAGUAUAGCAGUUGCUAGCUGUCGGGUUCAUCCUCUUCUACCGCCAUUCCGUGGGGUUUUCGCCAAAAGCUUGGAUUAUGGGCUCUGAUUGAACUUUCAAGGUGUUGGGAACCAUUGCCUAGUACGAUUAGAGUUGGCUUUAGGGAAUUUUGGGUUAUGAAUAGAUUGGAAUCUUUGUGCUAAGCUUGGAACAGAUUUCUGGAUCAGUACAUCAUUUGGGGUGUGAUUCAAGAAUUUUACUAAGUUAAAGGAGGGUGUAAUUACUUUUUGUUAGAUUUAAUUUUGAGGUAAGGGUAGAGAUGCACCGGCGAUGGCGCAACGGAAUUCAUGAUCGAACCACUGGGACUAGUUUUUUUUAUGCUUCCAUAUCAUGAGAUGUAGAAUUCUUUUCAUGUUUCCCUUAAUGUUUAGUUUUGAUGUUUGAAACUUAUUAUUAAGAAUUGUUUUUCAUAUGUAUUUAUUAAUCUUUAUGAUUUAUGGG
This is a non-coding RNA of Benincasa hispida (wax gourd), 928 nucleotides long. Lineage: Eukaryota; Viridiplantae; Streptophyta; Magnoliopsida; Cucurbitales; Cucurbitaceae. The record is from RefSeq and is a predicted model, not a curated record.